Molecule: ribosomal RNA, 2247 nt
Filed under: Salmonella enterica subsp. enterica serovar Reading
Lineage: Bacteria; Pseudomonadati; Pseudomonadota; Gammaproteobacteria; Enterobacterales; Enterobacteriaceae
Description: bacterial LSU rRNA
Rfam family: Bacterial large subunit ribosomal RNA
Source: RNAcentral
GUGACUGCGUACCUUUUGUAUAAUGGGUCAGCGACUUAUAUUCUGUAGCAAGGUUAACCGUAUAGGGGAGCCGGAGGGAAACCGAGUCUUAAUUGGGCGUUAAGUUGCAGGGUAUAGACCCGAAACCCGGUGAUCUAGCCAUGGGCAGGUUGAAGGUUGGGUAACACUAACUGGAGGACCGAACCGACUAAUGUUGAAAAAUUAGCGGAUGACCUGUGGCUGGGGGUGAAAGGCCAAUCAAACCGGGAGAUAGCUGGUUCUCCCCGAAAGCUAUUUAGGUAGCGCCUCGUGAAUUCAUCUCCGGGGGUAGAGCACUGUUUCGGCUAGGGGGCCAUCCCGGCUUACCAACCCGAUGCAAACUGCGAAUACCGGAGAAUGUUAUCACGGGAGACACACGGCGGGUGCUAACGUCCGUCGUGAAGAGGGAAACAACCCAGACCGCCAGCUAAGGUCCCAAAGUCAUGGUUAAGUGGGAAACGAUGUGGGAAGGCCCAGACAGCCAGGAUGUUGGCUUAGAAGCAGCCAUCAUUUAAAGAAAGCGUAAUAGCUCACUGGUCGAGUCGGCCUGCGCGGAAGAUGUAACGGGGCUAAACCAUGCACCGAAGCUGCGGCAGCGACACUGAUGUGUUGUUGGGUAGGGGAGCGUUCUGUAAGCCUGUGAAGGUGGCCUGUGAGGGUUGCUGGAGGUAUCAGAAGUGCGAAUGCUGACAUAAGUAACGAUAAAGCGGGUGAAAAGCCCGCUCGCCGGAAGACCAAGGGUUCCUGUCCAACGUUAAUCGGGGCAGGGUGAGUCGACCCCUAAGGCGAGGCCGAAAGGCGUAGUCGAUGGGAAACGGGUUAAUAUUCCCGUACUUGGUGUUACUGCGAAGGGGGGACGGAGAAGGCUAUGUUGGCCGGGCGACGGUUGUCCCGGUUUAAGCGUGUAGGUGUGUGUUCCAGGUAAAUCCGGUUCACUUUAACACUGAGGCGUGAUGACGAGGCACUACGGUGCUGAAGCAACAAAUGCCCUGCUUCCAGGAAAAGCCUCUAAGCAUCAGGUAACAUCAAAUCGUACCCCAAACCGACACAGGUGGUCAGGUAGAGAAUACCAAGGCGCUUGAGAGAACUCGGGUGAAGGAACUAGGCAAAAUGGUGCCGUAACUUCGGGAGAAGGCACGCUGACACGUAGGUGAAGUGAUUUACUCACGGAGCUGAAGUCAGUCGAAGAUACCAGCUGGCUGCAACUGUUUAUUAAAAACACAGCACUGUGCAAACACGAAAGUGGACGUAUACGGUGUGACGCCUGCCCGGUGCCGGAAGGUUAAUUGAUGGGGUCAGCGCAAGCGAAGCUCCUGAUCGAAGCCCCGGUAAACGGCGGCCGUAACUAUAACGGUCCUAAGGUAGCGAAAUUCCUUGUCGGGUAAGUUCCGACCUGCACGAAUGGCGUAAUGAUGGCCAGGCUGUCUCCACCCGAGACUCAGUGAAAUUGAACUCGCUGUGAAGAUGCAGUGUACCCGCGGCAAGACGGAAAGACCCCGUGAACCUUUACUAUAGCUUGACACUGAACAUUGAGCCUUGAUGUGUAGGAUAGGUGGGAGGCUUUGAAGUGUGGACGCCAGUCUGCAUGGAGCCGACCUUGAAAUACCACCCUUUAAUGUUUGAUGUUCUAACGUGGACCCGUAAUCCGGGUUGCGGACAGUGUCUGGUGGGUAGUUUGACUGGGGCGGUCUCCUCCUAAAGAGUAACGGAGGAGCACGAAGGUUGGCUAAUCCUGGUCGGACAUCAGGAGGUUAGUGCAAUGGCAUAAGCCAGCUUGACUGCGAGCGUGACGGCGCGAGCAGGUGCGAAAGCAGGUCAUAGUGAUCCGGUGGUUCUGAAUGGAAGGGCCAUCGCUCAACGGAUAAAAGGUACUCCGGGGAUAACAGGCUGAUACCGCCCAAGAGUUCAUAUCGACGGCGGUGUUUGGCACCUCGAUGUCGGCUCAUCACAUCCUGGGGCUGAAGUAGGUCCCAAGGGUAUGGCUGUUCGCCAUUUAAAGUGGUACGCGAGCUGGGUUUAGAACGUCGUGAGACAGUUCGGUCCCUAUCUGCCGUGGGCGCUGGAGAACUGAGGGGGGCUGCUCCUAGUACGAGAGGACCGGAGUGGACGCAUCACUGGUGUUCGGGUUGUCAUGCCAAUGGCACUGCCCGGUAGCUAAAUGCGGAAGAGAUAAGUGCUGAAAGCAUCUAAGCACGAAACUUGCCCCGAGAUGAGUUCUCCCUGAGACUU